CACGAAGUUAGCCGGUGCUUAUUCUUUGGGUACCGUCAUCCCAACCGGGUAUUAACCAGCUGGAUUUCUUUCCCAACAAAAGGGCUUUACAACCCGAAGGCCUUCUUCACCCGCGCGGUAUGGCUGGAUCAGGCUUGCGCCCAUUGUCCAAUAUUCCCCACUGCUGCCUCCCGUAGGAGUCUGGACCGUGUCUCAGUUCCAGUGUGGCUGAUCAUCCUCUCAGACCAGCUACGGAUCGUCGCCUUGGUGGGCCUUUACCCCGCCAACUAGCUAAUCCGACAUCGGCUCAUUCAAUCGCGCAAGGUCCGAAGAUCCCCUGCUUUCACCCGUAGGUCGUAUGCGGUAUUAGCGUAAGUUUCCCUACGUUAUCCCCCACGAAAACGUAGAUUCCGAUGUAUUCCUCACCCGUCCGCCACUCGCCACCCAUAAGAGCAAGCUCUUACUGUGCUGCCGUUCGACUUGCAUGUGUUAGGCCUACCGCCAGCGCUCACUCUGACGCCAGGAUACAAACUCUCUACG
RNAcentral lists this ribosomal RNA (519 nucleotides) under uncultured Stenotrophomonas sp. RNAcentral describes it as "partial 16S ribosomal RNA". Lineage: Bacteria; Pseudomonadati; Pseudomonadota; Gammaproteobacteria; Lysobacterales; Lysobacteraceae. The record is from RNAcentral.